GACGAACGCUGGCGGCGUGCUUAACACAUGCAAGUCGAACGGAAAGGCCCUGCUUUUGUGGGGUGCUCGAGUGGCGAACGGGUGAGUAACACGUGAGUAACCUGCCCUUGACUUUGGGAUAACUUCAGGAAACUGGGGCUAAUACCGGAUAGGAGCUCCUGCUGCAUGGUGGGGGUUGGAAAGUUUCGGCGGUUGGGGAUGGACUCGCGGCUUAUCAGCUUGUUGGUGGGGUAGUGGCUUACCAAGGCUUUGACGGGUAGCCGGCCUGAGAGGGUGACCGGCCACAUUGGGACUGAGAUACGGCCCAGACUCCUACGGGAGGCAGCAGUGGGGAAUAUUGCACAAUGGGCGGAAGCCUGAUGCAGCAACGCCGCGUGCGGGAUGACGGCCUUCGGGUUGUAAACCGCUUUCGCCUGUGACGAAGCGUGAGUGACGGUAAUGGGUAAAGAAGCACCGGCUAACUACGUGCCAGCAGCCGCGGUGAUACGUAGGGUGCGAGCGUUGUCCGGAUUUAUUGGGCGUAAAGGGCUCGUAGGUGGUUGAUCGCGUCGGAAGUGUAAUCUUGGGGCUUAACCCUGAGCGUGCUUUCGAUACGGGUUGACUUGAGGAAGGUAGGGGAGAAUGGAAUUCCUGGUGGAGCGGUGGAAUGCGCAGAUAUCAGGAGGAACACCAGUGGCGAAGGCGGUUCUCUGGGCCUUUCCUGACGCUGAGGAGCGAAAGCGUGGGGAGCGAACAGGCUUAGAUACCCUGGUAGUCCACGCUGUAAACGGUGGGUACUAGGUGUGGGGUCCAUUCCACGGGUUCCGUGCCGUAGCUAACGCUUUAAGUACCCCGCCUGGGGAGUACGGCCGCAAGGCUAAAACUCAAAGGAAUUGACGGGGCCCCGCACAAGCGGCGGAGCAUGCGGAUUAAUUCGAUGCAACGCGUAGAACCUUACCUGGGUUUGACAUGGAUCGGGAGCGCUCAGAGAUGGGUGUGCCUCUUUUGGGGUCGGUUCACAGGUGGUGCAUGGCUGUCGUCAGCUCGUGUCGUGAGAUGUUGGGUUAAGUCCCGCAACGAGCGCAACCCUUGUUCACUGUUGCCAGCACGUUAUGGUGGGGACUCAGUGGAGACCGCCGGGGUCAACUCGGAGGAAGGUGGGGAUGACGUCAAGUCAUUAUGCCCCUUAUGUCCAGGGCUUCACGCAUGCUACAAUGGCUGGUACAGAGAGUGGCGAGCCUGUGAGGGUGAGCGAAUCUCGGAAAGCCGGUCUCAGUUCGGAUUGGGGUCUGCAACUCGACCUCAUGAAGUCGGAGUCGCUAGUAAUCGCAGAUCAGCAACGCUGCGGUGAAUACGUUCCCGGGGCU
This 1346-nucleotide ribosomal RNA is filed under the name uncultured bacterium. RNAcentral's name for it is "bacterial SSU rRNA". It matches the Rfam family "Bacterial small subunit ribosomal RNA", at positions 28 to 1381 of the family's 1533-position model. The record is from RNAcentral.